AAUUCAGUGGAUGCAGAACGUGCAGUCUCAAUAUAUGGGCAAGUCAACUACAGAGGGAUGCUGCAUGCUUGCCUUUAACAAGUGACAGCACUCUGUUUUAUUAAGGAAGUAAGUACCACAAUUUUUAGGCUUUAUAGUGUUCUGAAAUACUGUCUGCUUAGGUUUAUUUAAUGUUUAAACAGGUCCGCGAAAUGUCCGCAAAAUCCUAAUUUUAUUCCGCAACAUACCCGUGAAAAAUACGGAAAUUUACCGCGAUUUAAGUAGACACCAUAUUAUUGUUAAUAAAACAAUUAAUAAUCCUCUCCCAACACCGAGACCCUAAACCUAAGGUUAGUAUUCUAUACAAAAGCCAUUACACAUCUAAAGUAGUUCGUGUUUGGCAGAGAAUAAUUUUUGUUACUUAAGAAAAAAAGUGAGCAGAGGUGCUGGCUUUCUCAGUUGCCCUUACAGGAACAUUUCGUGGUACCUUUGUAAGCACUGCUAAGAAACCCACACAGUAUACAAGUGUGGGUGUCGGGGCUGGUUGAGGACGGGGCAGACUCACCCGGAGGAACAUUUAAAUAAAGAUUGGAGAUUGCAGCAGGAUUGUGCAGAGCAGUAACCGCGGAGUGAGUUUUUAAAAACAGCGAGUGGAGUACGAGCAAACCCAGCGAUCAAGGAUUACUGAGCACGAUCCGGAGCUGCAGCCGCAGGCCAGCGAAAAACCCGGACUUCACCACUCACCUUUCACUACCAACUGUCUUUGUGUUUGCACCUUUUAGCACUUGAAUCACGCACUGUCUUUUGUGUUCGUGUUUAGUGUGGGUGUCGGAACGGGACUUUGGGGUUGCGGGUCAAACCCGCGGGAUUAUAAAUUAGAAGUGAUACACGCCGCUGUAUCACUUCCAGCACUAUUAUCAUUUACAGGUUUUGCCUUGAGGCUCUGGACAUUUACAAAAAUAAAUAAACACCCUUGCACCUGUACCAACGUCUGUCUGUGUGAUUCUUCUGCACUGCACUCACCUGCACGUCAUUACCACUUUGCCACACAGCACCAGUAGGCAACGUGAAAGAGCACUGUGUGGAUUUGCCUGUGCGUGGAUUACAAACAGCAGUAUUAGUUACCUAGAGACCUAUCUGCUUACUUUUGAACUGUGUGCUCAAGCACUGAUAAAGGAAACACACGACACAGACUGUGUAAUUUUAUUUUUAGUCGUGGUGUAUAACGCCAGCAUGGAUACUGCUGGUCCAGCUAGUGUCCAUUCCUUCUUCCACCAGCAGAGGUCUCCUGCUAACCUUGAAAGAAAAAGAAACAGACGCUUCAUUUAUUUGAAAUACAGGACUGUGUAACUAUCAUUACGACCUCUAUGUACCUGAUGUCCUUGUGUGGGCCAGACUGGACACCUUUCCUCUUGUGUGGAGGGAAGUAAAACCUGGAGAACGUACCUGAAACACCUGGAAGGGAACAAAGUAACAGUUACAGCCCAGUCCUGGGUUUGGAUUAUAAAUGCACCUUUAAAACCUGUACUUACCUUUGUGGAGGUCACUUUUGAAAGGGUGUGGCAGGAACCUGUACCAACCAGGAAGAUCUGAGACUGGAACUAUUUUUGUUUAGUUCUCCAGUAGGGUGGUUUUUGUACUGCAGUAAUUUUACUACACACUGCAGUAUUUUAUUUUAUUUUUACUACACACUGCAGUCAUUUUUAUUUGCACAGGGCUUAGCCUCUGCAAGGAUAGACAGGGAUCAAGAAGUGAGCGAGGGCCCAAGUGGGCAGGUGUUAUUUUGGUUUUUGUUUAUUUUUAUUGCUACAAAUACACUGUGUGUUGCCGUGAAAAAUAAAAGCCUGCCCAGGUUAAACCCACA
This is a long non-coding RNA of Acipenser ruthenus (sterlet), 1843 nucleotides long. RefSeq lists it as uncharacterized. NCBI's taxonomy places the organism in Eukaryota, Metazoa, Chordata, Actinopteri, Acipenseriformes, Acipenseridae. The record is from RefSeq and is a predicted model, not a curated record. The transcript has 2 exons.